This 598-nucleotide long non-coding RNA is filed under the name Anas platyrhynchos platyrhynchos (common mallard). Its description in RNAcentral is "lncRNA (ENSAPLG00000019642.1)". Lineage: Eukaryota; Metazoa; Chordata; Aves; Anseriformes; Anatidae. The record is from RNAcentral.
UGGACAUCCCAUGACUGAAGCAUGUUUGAAGCAUGUCCCAUGACUCAAGCGUGUCCAAUGGAUGUCACAUGACCUAAGCAUGUCCUUAACAUGUUCCCACGACCGAAGCACGUCCGAAGCACAUCCCAUGUCCUUAACAUGUUCCCAUGCCCCAAGCAUGUCCAGAGGAUGUCCCAUGACUUACACAUGUCCUUAACAUGUUCCCAUGUCCUUAACAUGUUCCAUGCCCCAAACACGUCCUUAACGUGCCCCCACCCCACCCACCGCGUGUCCCACGCCCCACACGCGUCCGCCACGCGUGUCCCGUGUCCGAGGCGUGUCCCAGGCGUGUCCGAGGCGUGUCCCAGGCGUGUUCCAGGCGUGUUCAGGCGUGGCGGGGCAGGGGGUGGCUGACCCGCAGGCAGCCCCAGUAACCAGCCCGCAGGAGGCAGGCGCCCGCCCCGGCCACCAGUAGGGCCCAGGCCGCGUGCAGGGCCCCGAAACGCCGGGCGGCCGCCCACGUGCCCACCUGGGGGGGGACCAGUAUGGACCAGUAAGGGCCCAGUAUGGCCCAGUAACCCAGAAAGGCCCCACCAGUACAUACCAGUAAGGAACGAGG